GUCGUCGCCGUUGUCAAUGUCUGUCUGUCGAAUUUAUGACAUAAUUCGAUUCAUUUCUUUAAAUUCAUUUUGCAACAAAUUGCAAAGAGCAGCAAAUGCUUUGCGGCCCAAAAUGAGUUUUAUAUUGAGCUCGGCGACGCACAAUUGUUGUGGCUCCGCAUUGUACGAUUCAAGUGAUUUUCGCAUCAUUGGCAGCCGUUUUUACAGGUAUUAUUAACCAAAGCAUUUGAAGUCAAAGCUCAAAAGGAAAAUCAAGAACGAGAACCAGAAAUUCCAAGAAAUGAACUCUACGAAAUCACAAAAUUUUACAUUAUUUUGGGUACGUUUUGCGGUAAGAAGAAGUAAGGAUAUCUUCGGCUUGCCAAAGAUUAAAUAUCCUUGUUAACAUUCGCCUAUCGGUUACGCAGAUAUAUCGUUCCUAUGGCAGCUUAAUGAUACAAUAGUUCUAUGUUGCAUAUAUAUGAGAAGCAGCGAAGACCAAAGGACAACGGACAUGGUUAUAUUAUUAUUAUAUUCGACUAUGGAUGCCGAUUUAGAAUAUAUUGUCAUAUAUUGUCAAUUGGAAUAAAAAUUCUCUCUUAAAUAUAUUUA
This is a non-coding RNA of Drosophila virilis, 591 nucleotides long. The record is from RefSeq and is a predicted model, not a curated record. NCBI's taxonomy places the organism in Eukaryota, Metazoa, Arthropoda, Insecta, Diptera, Drosophilidae.